Molecule: ribosomal RNA, 506 nt
Filed under: uncultured bacterium
Lineage: Bacteria
Description: partial 16S ribosomal RNA
Rfam family: Bacterial small subunit ribosomal RNA
Source: RNAcentral
GAUGAACGCUAGCUACAGGCUUAACACAUGCAAGUCGAGGGGUAACAAGAGAAAAGCCUGCUUUUCUUGUUGACGACCGGCGCACGGGUGAGUAACGCGUAUCCAACCUGCCUAUAACUAGGGAAUAACCUUGCGAAAGUAAGACUAAUACCCUAUGAUUUCCUUUGAUGGCAUCAGAUUAGGAAUAAAGAUUUAUCGGUUAUAGAUGGGGAUGCGUCUGAUUAGCUUGUUGGCGGGGUAACGGCCCACCAAGGCAACGAUCAGUAGGGGUUCUGAGAGGAAGGUCCCCCAAAUUGGAACGGAGACACGGUCCAAACUCCUACGGGAGGCAGCAGUGAGGAAUAUUGGUCAAUGGGCGGAAGCCUGAACCAGCCAAGUAGCGUGCAGGAUGACGGCCCUAUGGGUUGUAAACUGCUUUUAUACAGGAAUAAAGUUAGCCACGUGUGGUUAUUUGUAGGUACUGUAUGAAUAAGGACCGGCUAAUUCCGUGCCAGCAGCCGCAGUAA